Molecule: ribosomal RNA, 253 nt
Filed under: uncultured bacterium
Lineage: Bacteria
Description: partial 16S ribosomal RNA
Rfam family: Bacterial small subunit ribosomal RNA
Source: RNAcentral
UACAGAGGGGGCAAGCGUUGUUCGGAAUUACUGGGCGUAAAGGGCGCGUAGGCGGCCUGCUAAGUCGAACGUGAAAGCCCCGGGCUCAACCUGGGAAUUGCAUUUGAGACUGCAUAGCUAGGGUGCGGAAGAGGGAAGCGGAAUUUCCGGUGUAGCGGUGAAAUGCGUAGAUAUCGGAAGGAACACCAGUGGCGAAAGCGGCUUCCUGGUCCAGCACCGACGUUCAGGCACGAAAGCGUGGGGAGCAAACAGG